CAGUGAGACAAUGCAAGGUGAAACGUAAAAUGAUUAGCAUCGGAGAAGGUCAAUGUUCAGCGACCGUUGAGGUGAAAGCAUGUGAAGGAUAUUGUAACUCAUUUGCCAUAUAUGAUCACAAAACAAAUGGCAUGAAACAAACAUGUGAGUGCUGCCAGGAGGAAAAUACUGAGGAAAAACAAAUAACUCUGCAAUGCUCCUUUGGAGGAUCUCAACCAUACACCUACAUUUCUGCCAAAUCAUGCAAAUGCAAAAUCUGUGAAGGUGAAAACGCUUAACGUUGUGAUCUCAAAGCCUUACAACUGGAUAUAAUUUGUGCAACAAACGUAGAUGUUAAAAUCUGAAACAUUAUUCUUCAUAAUUUCUAUUUGCUUGGUUUUACUUGGUAAUGAGAUAAUGUUGUGAAUUUGAUUUCCUCCCAAUUGCUCCCUUUAAAAUGUGGAAUUGUAUUCUUUUGUAUGUUGGAAACCUUUCACUUUAUUGUUUGACAGCAAAUUUAAAUCAAUAAAACAUUUUCUGCAUGAA
Molecule: non-coding RNA, 525 nt
Organism: Chiloscyllium plagiosum (whitespotted bambooshark)
Lineage: Eukaryota; Metazoa; Chordata; Chondrichthyes; Orectolobiformes; Hemiscylliidae
Source: RefSeq, a predicted model, not a curated record